Molecule: ribosomal RNA, 253 nt
Filed under: uncultured bacterium
Lineage: Bacteria
Description: partial 16S ribosomal RNA
Rfam family: Bacterial small subunit ribosomal RNA
Source: RNAcentral
GACAGAGGGUGCAAACGUUGUUCGGAAUUACUGGGCGUAAAGCGCAUGUAGGCGGCCUAGCAGGUCGGAUGUGAAAUCCCUCGGCUCAACCAAGGAAGUGCAUUCGAAACCGCAAGGCUGGAGUCCCGGAGAGGGUGGUGGAAUUCUCGGUGUAGAGGUGAAAUUCGUAGAUAUCGAGAGGAACACCGGCGGCGAAGGCGGCCAUCUGGACGAGGACUGACGCUGAGAUGCGAAAGCGUGGGGAGCAAACAGG